CCACUUCUAAAAACGGCGGCCUCCGGCUCCGUCCAUGGCUAAAAUCCUCCUUCCUCCUCUUCCCCUCCCCCCGCCGCUUCCCUCCAAACCCGACCAAAUUUCACCCGAAGAUUCCUUCCGGAGAAGCGAACCCGACCAGAAAUUGACCCCCCCUCCCCCCCCCCCCCCUGAGAAAGCUCGAUCCGAGGACGAAUCAGACCCCAAUCUGCUGAAGCCUAGCGAUGGGAAUCCCUGUCCGAUCUCUCCUCGUCGCGUCGAUCGUCCUCAGCUCGAUCGCCCUGCAUGUCGCGGCGGCAAAAAACUUGGAUCCCUACAAGGUGAGAGACGAUAAGCCCCUUCCUCCACUGCCCCCCCGGGGGGGGGGGGGGGGGCGCUCCCCGCCACCGCCGGUGACGGCAAUGUGCAGUUUUCUCUAGCUAAAUGUUGUACGAACUAGGAACCAAUUGUGAGGCAGGACUCAGGAACAGUAGCCACGCAGCCUCGCCAAUGUGCAAUAGAAGUGAUCAUGAAAGCAUAGUCAUUUGAGCCUUCCAAUCAAUUAGAGUUCACAGCAUUAACGCAUUUUCCCUUCGACGAUAGCAUCAUUGUCGGUUGUCAAAUUGUCAGUGAUAUAUUCUGUUCUGUUGUUUUAUUUCAGG
This 638-nucleotide long non-coding RNA is filed under the name Oryza sativa (Asian cultivated rice). Its description in RNAcentral is "long non-coding RNA (OSAT_LNC000533)". Lineage: Eukaryota; Viridiplantae; Streptophyta; Magnoliopsida; Poales; Poaceae. The record is from RNAcentral.